UGGGGAAUUUUGGACAAUGGGCGAAAGCCUGAUCCAGCAAUGCCGCGUGUGUGAAGAAGGCCUUCGGGUUGUAAAGCACUUUUGUCCGGAAAGGAAUCCUUGGCUCUAAUACAGUCGGGGGAUGACGGUACCGGAAGAAUAAGCACCGGCUAACUACGUGCCAGCAGCCGCGGUAAUACGUAGGGUGCAAGCGUUAAUCGGAAUUACUGGGCGUAAAGCGUGCGCAGGCGGUUUGCUAAGACCGAUGUGAAAUCCCCGGGCUCAACCUGGGAACUGCAUUGGUGACUGGCAGGCUAGAGUAUGGCAGAGGGGGGUAGAAUUCCACGUGUAGCAGUGAAAUGCGUAGAGAUGUGGAGGAAUACCGAUGGCGAAGGCAGCCCCCUGGGCCAAUACUGACGCUCAUGCACGAAAGCGUGGGGAGCAAACAG
RNAcentral lists this ribosomal RNA (428 nucleotides) under uncultured bacterium. RNAcentral describes it as "bacterial SSU rRNA". It matches the Rfam family "Bacterial small subunit ribosomal RNA", at positions 355 to 775 of the family's 1533-position model. The record is from RNAcentral.